AUUGAACGCUGGCGGCAUGCCUAACACAUGCAAGUCGAGCGGUAACAGGAAUCAGCUUGCUGCUUCGCUGAAGAGGGGCGGACGGGAGAGAAAUGUCGGGGAAACUGCCUUAUGGAGGGGGAUAACUACGGAAAACGGAAGCUAAUACCGCAUAACGUCUCAAGAGCAAGGAGGAAGAGCGACAGGCCGCUUGGCAGCGGAUGAGCGAAGGAUCCAGCAGGCAUUAGGUAGGUGGAAGGGUAACGGCUUACACAGGCGACGAUUCGUAGCCGAGCUGAGAGGGUGAUCGGCCACACUGGAACUGAGACGCGGUCCAGACUCCUACGGGAGGCAGCAGUAGGGAAUCUUCCGCAAUGGGCGAAAGCCUGACGCAGCCACGCCGCGUGAGUGAUGAAGGUCUUCGGAUCGUAAAGCUCUUUUAUUAGGGAAGAACAAAUGUGUAAGUAACUAUUCACUUCUUGACGUUACCUGCUCAGAAAGCCACGGCUAACUACGUG
RNAcentral lists this ribosomal RNA (497 nucleotides) under uncultured bacterium. RNAcentral's name for it is "partial 16S ribosomal RNA". It matches the Rfam family "Bacterial small subunit ribosomal RNA", at positions 30 to 507 of the family's 1533-position model. The record is from RNAcentral.